CUAAUGGUCAUAGCAUUAAGUGAAUUUGAAUCAACACACAUGCGUAGGGAUUGAUCCUUCUUCUUCACAAAGAUAGCCAGACAAACCCCAAGGAGAAGAACUAGGGCGAAUAAGACCCUUCUUCAACAACUCAUUCAACUAGAUCUUAAGCUCAGCUAGCUCAUUCGGUGGAAUUCUAUAUGGUCUUCUAGAGAUAGGAGCAGUGCCUAGAAUCUACUCAAUUUUAAACUCCACAUCACGGUCUAGAGGGAUUCUAGGCAAUUCAUCAAGAGAGAU
RNAcentral lists this long non-coding RNA (276 nucleotides) under Sorghum bicolor (sorghum). Its description in RNAcentral is "long non-coding RNA (SBIC_LNC008795)". Lineage: Eukaryota; Viridiplantae; Streptophyta; Magnoliopsida; Poales; Poaceae. The record is from RNAcentral.